Molecule: ribosomal RNA, 495 nt
Filed under: uncultured bacterium
Lineage: Bacteria
Description: partial 16S ribosomal RNA
Rfam family: Bacterial small subunit ribosomal RNA
Source: RNAcentral
AUGAACGCUGGCGGCGUGCCUAAUACAUGCAAGUCGAGCGAACGGACGAGAAGCUUGCCUCUCUGAUGUUAGCGGCGGACGGGUGAGUAACACGUGGAUAACCUACCUAUAAGACUGGGAUAACUUCGGGAAACCGGAGCUAAUACCGGAUAAUAUUUUGAACCGCAUGGUUCAAAAGUAAAAGACGGUCUUGCUGUCACUUAUAGAUGGAUCCGCGCUGCAUUAGCUAGUUGGUAAGGUAACGGCUUACCAAGGCAACGAUGCAUAGCCGACCUGAGAGGGUGAUCGGCCACACUGGAACUGAGACACGGUCCAGACUCCUACGGGAGGCAGCAGUAGGGAAUCUUCCGCAAUGGGCGAAAGCCUGACGGAGCAACGCCGCGUGAGUGAUGAAGGUCUUCGGAUCGUAAAACUCUGUUAUUAGGGAAGAACAUAUGUGUAAGUAACUGUGCACAUCUUGACGGUACCUAAUCAGAAAGCCACGGCUAACUACGU